This 253-nucleotide ribosomal RNA is filed under the name uncultured bacterium. Its description in RNAcentral is "partial 16S ribosomal RNA". It matches the Rfam family "Bacterial small subunit ribosomal RNA", at positions 524 to 776 of the family's 1533-position model. The record is from RNAcentral.
UACGUAGGUGACCAGCGUUGUCCGGAUUUACUGGGCGUAAAGAGCGCGCAGGCGGUCGUUCAAGUCGAGUGUGAAAGCCCCCGGCUCAACUGGGGAGGGUCACGCGAUACUGAUCGACUCGAAGGCAGGAGAGGGUAGUGGAAUUCCCGGUGUAGUGGUGAAAUGCGUAGAUAUCGGGAGGAACACCAGUGGCGAAGGCGACUACCUGGCCUGUUCUUGACGCUGAGGCGCGAAAGCUAGGGGAGCAAACGGG